GGCGGCGUAGCUCAGUCGGUAGAGCGCCGGUUUCAUAAGCCGUAGGUCGGCAGUUCAAUCCUGCCCGCCGUCACCA
RNAcentral lists this transfer RNA (76 nucleotides) under marine sediment metagenome. Its description in RNAcentral is "tRNA-Met". It matches the Rfam family "tRNA". From Rfam's summary of the family: Transfer RNA (tRNA) molecules are approximately 80 nucleotides in length. Their secondary structure includes four short double-helical elements and three loops (D, anti-codon, and T loops). The record is from RNAcentral.